This 497-nucleotide ribosomal RNA is filed under the name uncultured bacterium. RNAcentral's name for it is "partial 16S ribosomal RNA". It matches the Rfam family "Bacterial small subunit ribosomal RNA", at positions 28 to 507 of the family's 1533-position model. The record is from RNAcentral.
GACGAACGCUGGCGGCGUGCCUAAUACAUGCAAGUAGAACGCUGAAGAGAGGAGCUUGCUCUUCUUGGAUGAGUUGCGAACGGGUGAGUAACGCGUAGGUAACCUGCCUUGUAGCGGGGGAUAACUAUUGGAAACGAUAGCUAAUACCGCAUAACAAUGGAUGACACAUGUCAUUUAUUUGAAAGGGGCAAUUGCUCCACUACAAGAUGGACCUGCGUUGUAUUAGCUAGUAGGUGAGGUAACGGCUCACCUAGGCGACGAUACAUAGCCGACCUGAGAGGGUGAUCGGCCACACUGGGACUGAGACACGGCCCAGACUCCUACAGGAGGCAGCAGUAGGGAAUCUUCGGCAAUGGGGGCAACCCUGACCGAGCAACGCCGCGUGAGUGAAGAAGGUUUUCGGAUCGUAAAGCUCUGUUGUAAGUCAAGAACGAGUGUGAGAGUGGAAAGUUUACACUGUGACGGUAGCUUACCAGAAAGGGACGGCUAACUACGUG